RNAcentral lists this ribosomal RNA (635 nucleotides) under uncultured Actinomycetes bacterium. RNAcentral's name for it is "bacterial SSU rRNA". It matches the Rfam family "Bacterial small subunit ribosomal RNA", at positions 234 to 885 of the family's 1533-position model. The record is from RNAcentral. Lineage: Bacteria; Bacillati; Actinomycetota; Actinomycetes.
CGCCUGGGGAGUACGGGUGAGGUAACGGCUCACCAAGGCAUUGACGGGUAGCUGGUCUGAGAGGAUGAUCAGCCACACUGGGACUGAGACACGGCCCAGACACCUACGGGAGGCAGCAGUGGGGAAUAUUGCACAAUGGGCGAAAGCCUGAUGCAGCAACGCCGCGUGCGGGAAGACGGCCCUAGGGUUGUAAACCGCUUUCAGCAGGGAAGAAAAUGACGGUACCUGCAGAAGAAGGUGCGGCCAACUACGUGCCAGCAGCCGCGGUGACACGUAGGCACCAAGCGUUGUCCGGAUUUAUUGGGCGUAAAGAGCUCGUAGGCGGUUCAGUAAGUCGGGUGUGAAAACUCUGGGCUCAACCCAGAGACGCCACCCGAUACUGCUGUGACUCGAGUGCGGUAGGGGAGCGGGGAAUUCCUAGUGUAGCGGUGAAAUGCGCAGAUAUUAGGAGGAACACCAGUGGCGAAGGCGCCGCUCUGGGCCGUAACUGACGCUGAGGAGCGAAAGCGUGGGGACCAAACAGGAUUAGAUACCCUGGUAGUCCACGCCGUAAACGUUGGGCACUAGGUGUGGGUCUCAACCAACGAGAUCCGCGCCGUCGCUAACGCAUUAAGUGCCCCGCCUGGGGAGUACGG